This 533-nucleotide ribosomal RNA is filed under the name Trigonopterus sp. 250 AR-2020. RNAcentral's name for it is "partial large subunit ribosomal RNA". It matches the Rfam family "Bacterial large subunit ribosomal RNA", at positions 1851 to 2643 of the family's 2925-position model. The record is from RNAcentral. Lineage: Eukaryota; Metazoa; Arthropoda; Insecta; Coleoptera; Curculionidae.
AGUCGGACCUGCCCAAUGAGGAUUUAAAUGGCCGCAGUAAUUUGACUGUGCAAAGGUAGCAUAAUCACUAGUUUUUUAAUUGAAAGCUUGAAUGAAAGGUUUAAUGAAAAAAUAACUGUCUCUAGAAAAAUUUAUUAAAAUUUUAUUUUUAAGUAAAAAAGCUUAAAUGAUUAUAGAAGACGAGAAGACCCUAUAGAGUUUUAUAUUUUAGUAGAAUAUGAUUUUUUUAGUGUAUAAAAGAUGUAUUUUAAAGAAGUAUUUUGUUGGGGUGAUAAAAAAAUUAAAGAAACUUUUUUUUUAUUUUUACACUGAUAUGUGAGUAUGUGAUCCUUAAGUAAAGAUUAAAAGAUAAAAUUACCUUAGGGAUAACAGCGUAAUUUUUUUUAGAGUUCUUAUCGAAAAAAAAGAUUGCGACCUCGAUGUUGGAUUAAAAUAAAUAAUUGGUGAAGAAGCUAGUUUAUUAGGUCUGUUCGACCUUUAAAAUUUUACAUGAUCUGAGUUUAGACCGGCGUGAGCCAGGUUGGUUUCUAUCU